GUUCCCCUUAAGUCUCUUCAUGAUUUCCACACCCCCUACAGACUUAAGAGAUAUUCAAAUAAGGCACAGCUUAUUUGAAACAGGAUACAACCUAGACACUAGGGUAAACCAUUAAAAUCUAACUAAGUUGGCCUAAAAGCAGCCACCUUUAAAAAAGCGUUAAAGCUUUAUUUUUACUACAAAAAAUCUGUCUAAUAAUUAUGAACCCAUCAUUACUAUUGAAUAAUUUCAUAAAUUAUGAAAGUUACCAUGCUAGAACUAGUAACAAGAAAAUGCAUUUCUCCAAAUUGUAAGCUUAAACCAAAAUGGACCUCCCACUGGUACUCAACGAUAAUGAUACUAAUAUUUUAACCACUCAAGAAAACUGAAUAAUUAAUAUCGUUAACCUUACACUAGAACACUUCUGGAAAGAUUAAAAGGAAAAGAAGGAACUCGGCAAUAUUUAGUCCCGCCUGUUUACCAAAAACAUCGCCUCUUGCACACUAUAAGAGGUCCCGCCUGCCCAGUGAUUAAUUUAACGGCCGCGUGAUUUUAAGCGCGCAAAGGUAGCAAAAUCAUUUGUUCUUUAAAUGAGGACCAGUAUCAAUGGCAUCACGAGGACUUCACUGUCUCCUUUUCCUAAUCAGUGAAACUAAUCUCCCUGUGAAAAAGCAGGGAUAAUGCUAUAAGACGAGAAGACCCCAUGGAGCUUUAAACUUUUUUAACAACUUCCAGUAAAUUUAUUACCCCUUAAUACUUAAGUUAUGCUUAAUAGUUUUAGGUUGGGGCGACCGCGGAGUAAAAUUUAACCUCCACGACAAAAGGAGAUUUCCUAAUCUAAGAAAGACAUUUCUAAGAAUCACUAACCUGAUGUUUCAUGACCCGACUAUCGAUCAACGAACCAAGUUACCCUGGGGAUAACAGCGCAAUCCAUUUAGAAAGUUCCUAUCGACAAAUGGGUUUACGACCUCGAUGUUGGAUCAGGAUACCCAAGUGGUGCAGCCGCUACUAAAGGUUUGUUUGUUCAACAAUUAAAAUCCU
This 1020-nucleotide ribosomal RNA is filed under the name Occidozyga sp. o ZTL-2022. Its description in RNAcentral is "partial large subunit ribosomal RNA". It matches the Rfam family "Bacterial large subunit ribosomal RNA", at positions 875 to 2597 of the family's 2925-position model. Lineage: Eukaryota; Metazoa; Chordata; Amphibia; Anura; Dicroglossidae. The record is from RNAcentral.